AGUUUGAUCCUGGCUCAGGAUGAACGCUAGCUACAGGCUUAACACAUGCAAGUCGAGGGGAAACGACAUCGAAAGCUUGCUUUUGAUGGGCGUCGACCGGCGCACGGGUGAGUAACGCGUAUCCAACCUGCCCACCACUUGGGGAUAACCUUGCGAAAGUAAGACUAAUACCCAAUGAUAUCUCUAGAAGACAUCUGAAAGAGAUUAAAGAUUUAUCGGUGAUGGAUGGGGAUGCGUCUGAUUAGCUUGUUGGCGGGGUAACGGCCCACCAAGGCAACGAUCAGUAGGGGUUCUGAGAGGAAGGUCCCCCACAUUGGAACUGAGACACGGUCCAAACUCCUACGGGAGGCAGCAGUGAGGAAUAUUGGUCAAUGGACGAGAGUCUGAACCAGCCAAGUAGCGUGCAGGAUGACGGCCCUAUGGGUUGUAAACUGCUUUUAUAAGGGAAUAAAGUGAGUCUCGUGAGACUUUUUGCAUGUACCUUAUGAAUAAGGACCGGCUAAUUCCGUGCCAGCAGCCGCGGUAAUACGGAAGGUCCGGGCGUUAUCCGGAUUUAUUGGGUUUAAAGGGGGCGUAGGCCGGAGAUUAAGCGUGUUGUGAAAUGUAGACGCUCAACGUCUGCACUGCAGCGCGAACUGGUUUCCUUGAGUACGCACAAAGUGGGCGGAAUUCGUGGUGUAGCGGUGAAAUGCUUAGAUAUCACGAAGAACUCCGAUUGCGAAGGCAGCUCACUGGAGCGCAACUGACGCUGAAGCUCGAAAGUGCGGGUAUCGAACAGGAUUAGAUACCCUGGUAGUCCGCACGGUAAACGAUGGAUGCCCGCUGUUGGUCUGAAUAGGUCAGCGGCCAAGCGAAAGCAUUAAGCAUCCCACCUGGGGAGUACGCCGGCAACGGUGAAACUCAAAGGAAUUGACGG
This 916-nucleotide ribosomal RNA is filed under the name uncultured bacterium. RNAcentral's name for it is "bacterial SSU rRNA". It matches the Rfam family "Bacterial small subunit ribosomal RNA", at positions 10 to 916 of the family's 1533-position model. The record is from RNAcentral.